RNAcentral lists this non-coding RNA (30 nucleotides) under Mus musculus (house mouse). Lineage: Eukaryota; Metazoa; Chordata; Mammalia; Rodentia; Muridae. The record is from RNAcentral.
UUCUUAGCUACCUUUGCCACUCUUUGACUC